RNAcentral lists this long non-coding RNA (379 nucleotides) under Rattus norvegicus (Norway rat). RNAcentral describes it as "long non-coding RNA NONRATT023290". Lineage: Eukaryota; Metazoa; Chordata; Mammalia; Rodentia; Muridae. The record is from RNAcentral.
AUCGCUGUCUCCAGGCCCGAGGAUGAAGAAAGGCCUGAGCCUCCAGAGUGCCUCUCUGUCCAGAAGUCAAUCCAAGAAGUGCUUAAUGGGUUCCUGUAUCCUUUCUUCCUUGAUUACUCAGUGCUGAGUGGAGACUUCUCACCAGGACUCCAGCAUCACCAUUUCCUGUCCAUGGAGCAUCCUGAGACAAAUUCUGCGAUCUGAUUUCCAUCCUGUCUCACAGAAAAGUGCAAUCCCGGUCUCUCCAGCAUCUUCCCUAGUUACCCAGGACAACACAUCGAGAAUUAAAAGCUUUCUUAAAUUUCUCUUUGCCCCACCCAUGAUCAUUCCGCACAAAUUUCUUGCUCUUGCAGUUCAAUAAAUGAUUACCCUUGCACUU